This 202-nucleotide long non-coding RNA is filed under the name Mytilus galloprovincialis (Mediterranean mussel). The record is from RNAcentral. Lineage: Eukaryota; Metazoa; Mollusca; Bivalvia; Mytilida; Mytilidae.
UUUUAUAGCACCUCUUUUACCAGAAACUGCCAAAUUGUCUGGGGACAACUGUUAAUUUAAUACAAACACAAUUCUACACUUUAAAAUCUCGCGUGCAGUUACUAGUAUUGUACAAUCUGUAGUCUUAAGACAAGAAAUUUUUGUUAAGUAACAAAAAGUAGGAUUCAAAUAAAUUAUUUAUUUAAACAAAUUCGACAGAAAC